Molecule: ribosomal RNA, 891 nt
Filed under: uncultured crenarchaeote
Lineage: Archaea; Thermoproteati; Thermoproteota
Description: bacterial SSU rRNA
Rfam family: Archaeal small subunit ribosomal RNA
Source: RNAcentral
AGGCCAGUCGAACGACUCGGACUAUGGCGAGAAGUGGCAAACUGCUCAGUAACACGUAGCUAACCUACCCUCAGGACGGAGACAACCCCGGGAAACUGGGGUUAAUCCCCGAUAGGCGUGAAUUCCUGGAAUGGUGUCACGCCGAAACGUUAACACACCAUGUUCGUGUACCGCCUGAGGAUGGGGCUGCGGCCGAUCAGGCAGUUGGUGAGGUAACGGCUCACCAAACCUUUGACCGGUACGGGCCGUGAGAGCGGUAGCCCGGAGAUGGACACUGAGACAAGGGUCCAGGACCUACGGGUCGCAGCCGGUACGAAACCUCCACAAUGCACGCAAGUGCGAUGGGGUUACCUCGAGUGCCGCCUGAAGAAGGCGGCUUUUCCAUUGUGUAAUGAGCCGUGGGAAUAGGGGGGGGCAAGACUGGUGUCAGCCGCCGCGGUAACACCAGCCCCCCGAGUGGUGGGGAUGUUUAUUUGGCCUAAAACGUCCGUAGCCAGCUAGGUAAAUCUCUCGUUAAAUCCAGCGUCCUAAGCGUUGGGCUGCGAGAGAGACUGCCAAACUAGAGGGUGGGAGAGGUCAGCGGUAUUUCUGGGGUAGGGGCGAAAUCCAUUGAUCCCAGGAGGACCACCAGUGGCGAAGGCUGCUGACUAGAACACGCCUGACGGUGAGGGACGAAAGCUGGGGUAGCGAAUCGGAUUAGAUACCCGAGUAGUCCCAGCCGUAAACGAUGCAGGCUAGGUGUUGGGUUGGCCAUGUGCCGACUCAGUGCCACAGGGAAGCCAUUAAGCCUGCUGCCUGGGGAGUACGGUCGCAAGGCUGAAACUUAAAGGAAUUGGCGGGAGAGCACCACCAGGCGUGAAGCCUGCGGUUUAAUUGGAUUCAACGCCGGAA